UACGUAGGGAGCAAGCGUUGUUCGGAUUUACUGGGCGUAAAGGGCGCGUAGGCGGCAAUUCAAGUCAGCUGUGAAAUCUCCGGGCUUAACUCGGAACGGUCAGCUGAUACUGCUUUGCUAGAGUGCGGAAGGGGCAAUCGGAAUUCUCGGUGUAGCGGUGAAAUGCGUAGAUAUCGAGAGGAACACCUGAGGUGAAGACGGGUUGAUGGGCCGACACUGACGCUGACAGCGCGAAAGCCAGGGGAGCAAACGGG
RNAcentral lists this ribosomal RNA (254 nucleotides) under uncultured bacterium. RNAcentral describes it as "partial 16S ribosomal RNA". It matches the Rfam family "Bacterial small subunit ribosomal RNA", at positions 524 to 776 of the family's 1533-position model. The record is from RNAcentral.